This 1871-nucleotide small RNA is filed under the name Caenorhabditis elegans. RNAcentral's name for it is "Unclassified non-coding RNA F56G4.11". The record is from RNAcentral. Lineage: Eukaryota; Metazoa; Nematoda; Chromadorea; Rhabditida; Rhabditidae.
UCAGUUGUCGACUACGUCGGAGCAACUCUAAAAACUGAAGCUCUACAGAACCCAGAUUUCAAGAACCAGAUCUACCAAAUGUCAUGUCAACUUCUUCGAUUAGAUAAAGAAAAUGCGAGACCCUUAUCACUAUAUCACUGUUUUAUCGGUACUUGCCAACAACAGGAUACUACAGCCCGAAUUUCAGAGAUUUGGGCCAUCAUUAGAGGCCUGAAAUGUGAUGUUAAGAAGCGAAAAAUGACUGAAAUGCUGGCGAAAGUGGUGACAAGCUCGGAAAUUCAAAUCGGUACGGUUUUUUGGAAAAUUUUUUUUUUUUGGAAAAUUUUUUUUCUGAAAAUGAACUGAAAUGUUCAAAUUAAUUAUCCCAAGCCUAUUCAAGCCUAUUCAGAUCCAAGCCUGCUCUCCGACAUGACCAUCUGCUCCCUCGGGCUUCACCCCACCCGUUUCAACACUGAAUCCACUCAACUUUUCGUUGCUUCAAUAUCCAAAUUAUUGGAUUUCCGUAACGAAUCCGAACGGAUUAUGCUCUUCCAGGCCACAGCGAAUACCCCGACGCUGAUGGAUUUGGUAGGGGUGUCUAGGGGUUUCUAGGCCAACAGGUGGAAAACUAGGCCAUGAAAACAUCAUUUUUGGAAUCUACGCGCUGAUGAGAGCUUUCCACCCAUAUUGCCUGGGUUCUGAUUUGUUUGAACUAACUUUUUUGGGAUUUUAGUCGAAAAUUUGGGUCCCGCCACGAAAUUGUGAUAUUUUUGAAAAUCCUAUAAAGUUCAGUUGAAGCCCAGCUCUAGCUGAGUUCAAAUCAUUUUUCAGACAUCAAAAAUAUGGAUUUUAAGCCAAGUUAUGGCGGUUUUAAAUUGGUGGCCUAGGAUUUCCUAGGCCACCAACUAAAAAUCGACAUAACUCGGCUGAAAAUCAAUAUUUUUACGAUCAGUAAAAACGAAUCAGCAGAGAAUUUCAUGAACUUUCCCCGCUAAAAGGACCAGUGGCCGAACUUCGAUUUUCCUCGGCCACCGGAAAAAUCCUAGGCCACCAAAUUAAAUUCGCCGUAACUUGGCUGAAAAUCAAUAUUUCUGGGAUCUGCAAAACGAAAUCAAUUGAAAAUUUCAUGGGCUAUCCCCUCAAAUGUCCAGUGGCCGAGAAAACUCCGAAUUUUUCUAGGCCACCAACUAAAAAUCACCAUAACUCGGUUAAAAAUCCAUAUUUUCACAAGCUGCAAAAACAAAUCAAUAGAAAAUGUUAUAAAAAAAGCUAUUUUAUUUAUUAGGUGGCCUAACUUUCGCGGCUUUCUAGGCCACCCUUUGGAAAAACCUAGUCUCUGCUUUUUCUGAAAAUCGACAGUUUCUAGUAAAAACGCUAGUUUAGAUGAGUUGAAAUCAUUUUUUAGAUUUCAAAAAUAUUGAUUUUAAGCCAAGUUAUGGCGGUUUUCAGUUGGUGGCCGAGGAUUUCCUAGGCCAUCAACUGAAAAUCUAUAUUUUCACGAUCCGUAAAAACAAAUUUCGUAGAUUUCUAGACCACCGAACAAAAAAAUUCAAUUUUUUUUUCAGAUUUCCUCAAUCCUGAGCCGCCCAUCCACCGAUUUUUCCAUCUCCGGAUUUCAAAUGAUUCUUUAUUUUUUCACACGAUUUCAUAUUGGAUCAAUGGAAUUUUAUCCAUAUAAUCAUCUUCUCAUUAUCACUAAAAUCAUCAAUUUCUGCCAUUGGAGCAUUCGAAAAUUCGCGAAAGAGCCCAUGAUUCUGAGCAUUUCAGUUGAUGCGAUUUGUGGAUUUUUACCGUGGAGUUAUCUGAGUGAAAUUGCUCUAAAUGGGCUUGAAGUUGAGAAUGAUCCUGUGGAGCAGUUGAUUGCUCAAAAUUUGAAGCACAAUCGAUUUUGG